RNAcentral lists this transfer RNA (71 nucleotides) under Struthiolaria papulosa. RNAcentral describes it as "tRNA-Ile". The record is from RNAcentral. Lineage: Eukaryota; Metazoa; Mollusca; Gastropoda; Littorinimorpha; Struthiolaridae.
UAGUGUCACGCCGGAUGAACGGAAAUCAUUGAUGUUGAUUAAUAUGGGAUGAUAAAAUUCUCUGAUACUAA